This 832-nucleotide ribosomal RNA is filed under the name uncultured bacterium. RNAcentral's name for it is "bacterial SSU rRNA". It matches the Rfam family "Bacterial small subunit ribosomal RNA", at positions 51 to 894 of the family's 1533-position model. The record is from RNAcentral.
ACACAUGCAAGUCGAACGGACUUACAUUGAAGCCUAGCGAUAUGUAAGUUAGUGGCGGACGGGUGAGUAACGCGUGGGUAACCUGCCUUGUACUGGGGGACAACAGUUGGAAACGACUGCUAAUACCGCAUAAGCGCACAGCUUCGCAUGAAGCAGUGUGAAAAACUCCGGUGGUACAAGAUGGACCCGCGUCUGAUUAGCUGGUUGGUGAGGUAACGGCCCACCAAGGCGACGAUCAGUAGCCGGCCUGAGAGGGUGAACGGCCACAUUGGGACUGAGACACGGCCCAAACUCCUACGGGAGGCAGCAGUGGGGAAUAUUGCACAAUGGGGGAAACCCUGAUGCAGCAACGCCGCGUGAGUGAAGAAGUAUUUCGGUAUGUAAAGCUCUAUCAGCAGGAAAGAAAAUGACGGUACCUGACUAAGAAGCCCCGGCUAACUACGUGCCAGCAGCCGCGGUAAUACGUAGGGGGCAAGCGUUAUCCGGAUUUACUGGGUGUAAAGGGAGCGUAGACGGUUUUGCAAGUCUGAAGUGAAAGCCCGGGGCUUAACCCCGGGACUGCUUUGGAAACUGUAGGACUAGAGUGCAGGAGAGGUAAGUGGAAUUCCUAGUGUAGCGGUGAAAUGCGUAGAUAUUAGGAGGAACACCAGUGGCGAAGGCGGCUUACUGGACUGUAACUGACGUUGAGGCUCGAAAGCGUGGGGAGCAAACAGGAUUAGAUACCCUGGUAGUCCACGCCGUAAACGAUGAUUACUAGGUGUUGGUGGGUAUGACCCAUCGGUGCCGCAGCAAACGCAAUAAGUAAUCCACCUGGGGAGUACGUUCGCAAGAA